GCCAUCACUGGCAUAGUGGUUUGAGCAUUGGGCUACAACUCUAGAGACCAGGGUUCGAUUCCCAGUUUGGCC
Phrynosoma platyrhinos (Desert horned lizard) is the source of this 72-nucleotide non-coding RNA. The record is from the annotation of a GenBank genome assembly. Lineage: Eukaryota; Metazoa; Chordata; Lepidosauria; Squamata; Phrynosomatidae.